UUUUUUUUUUUGUGUCUUCAAAUUAUCUUUAACGUGAUCUAAAAUUCAAUAAUUGUCUCAAUAUAUGUUAUGCACUUUUCUUCUUAUGAUAACAACUUCGAACAUAAACCAAUUUUUAGAGAUAUUUAAAAUUUGUUGCAAACAGGUCGAUGCGUACAAUUUUCAUAAAUAAAUUCACCGUCAUAUAGUUGACCGGCAAUUAUUAAUUAUAGGACCUCAUGAUUUCAAUGUACACCUUAUAAGACCUAAUAUUUUUUCUUGUUUCUUUUAAUAAAAAAUUAAAUUUAGGCCUAGAACGUAAAUAUGUUCUUUAAUUUGGCUUCAAUUGAUAUCUAUGUUCUCAAUUUUAGGUGUGUAUAAGUAUUAGACACUUAAACUAUUCAAAAGUUAAGCAAGUAGACGCACCAUUGUCAAGUAGGAUGUGCAUGUUUAUGUGUUCAACUUUUUAGAUAGUUUAAGUGUCUACUUGUGCAUAAUCAAAAUUAAAAGGCAUACAUGCCAGUCGACGUCAAGUUACCGGGUAUAUUUAUGUAUUAUGCCUUAAAUUUAUGCUGAGAAUUUUACUUAAAAGAAUAAAUUGCAUUUUAUCAUAUAUGAUUCAAUAUUCUAAAUUUAAGCUCAGAGAUCUGAUUAAAAAUAAAUGAGUAGCUAUUUGACUUUUGUUAAGUAAAAGGAAGGCCAAGAUAUUUUCAAACCAUUAAGUACUUCAAAAUUGAUUUGACAAUAUCUACUAUAGUGGAGAGAGUGGAGACUGUUAUUUUAUCAAUUAAAUUUAUUAAGAUUGAAUUUUGCAAAUAAUGUUUUUUUCCUAAAAAGUUAAGAGUGAAUAUUAUACCUUUUUUAUGUUUAGUGCCGAAAGUGCAUAAAGUAAGCUCAUUUUUCGAAUUAUAAAGAUUUUGAUAUAAAUAAGAGUCUUCAUUUAAAAAAAUAGAUGCAAAUUGAACUAGCAAAGAAGUAAUAUGUCCAAUCGAAUAUCUAGGAAAAAAUAGAAUAUAAUUUGAGGGAAAGACGGAGAAUUCUUUUGAAUUACUCGUUGUAGCGGAGUGUGUUACUUAUCUUAUUGUUCAUGUUAUAAAUUCCGAUUAUUAUGAAUAAUACUUGUACUUUUAUGUGACCUGAUAGCGUAAUAAUAAUUAUAUUAUAAGUUUAUGUAUAAAAGAAAACUAUAUAUAUGAUCUCAGGGGUACUUUAGACAUCCUAAUUGAUUAUUUUUUUGUCAAGUUAGAAAAUAAUUCUCUCUCAAAAUUCUAUUUAUUUGUCAAUCAAUAUUCAUAUUCAUGCUUAAUUUGUGUAGAAGAAAAGAAAAUUGUGUAAUAUGUCAAGAAAUUAAUGAUAAGAAAAUUGGUGGAAAGAAAAUUUUGGACUUAGAACAUGUGUGGCCCAGAAAGAUUUCUAAAAUACUUCAAGAAUUUUAGCUUUCACCUAUGAUAAAGACAACCAUUUAUAGAUGGUUGGGUUGUCUAAUAUUUGUAAAAUUAGUCGGUGCAAAUUCAGACAUAAAAUCUUUUUAAAAAAUUGAAUAAAUUUCUCAUACUUCAAAAAAUAUAUUAAAAAAAUUUAUAAGUCAUGAUAGUUGAUAUUCAAAAAAUUAAAAUACUAUUUAUAAACAAAAAAGAAGAUACUUCUUCUUCUCUUCUUUUUUUCCAAGAAAUGAUAGUAUCAUAUAAAAUAGAACAUAAGGAAUUAUAACACUUUUUGGUCAUCAAUAUGAGUUCUGGUGAAAUGAUUAAGAUUCCUCUAUUUUUAACCGUAGAUGACGUCUUAGGUUCGAGCCCUUGCAAAUGGAAAAAAUCCUUUUGAAAGUGUUGCCCCUAGAAAAAGCUUUGCAUAUGCGAAACUAGAUUUUAUCGAAUAUCAGAGACCGAUAAAAAAGUAAAUUAUUAUUUUUUUGGUCAUGAGGAUCACCUCAGACAUCAUCACAACACACACACAUAUAUAUAUAUUUGUUUCUUCUAAUAUAUAAAUAUUUAUGAAAUUUGCAAUUGUUUAAGGUCUUCUCUUUAAUGAUUAAUUUAGGGUUUUACUUUGAUAUUAGUAAAAGGGAUAUAUAUUAUCAUCAUGAUGAAAGUUGAUUAUAUAUAUGUAGAAAAUAGAAAAGGCUAGGGAUAUAUGGCCUACUGUUUUCCACAAAAAUCCACCCUUUCUAUAAUCUUCAUCAUUGAUUUUGAAGUAGGUAAAUAGCCAUUUUUAAACUUUUGCUAUCAAAUAUUAGUUAACUAUUUUAAAUUUAUUACUCCAAUUUUUAAAUCUUGUAAUCUUAAAUUAAAGAUAUUUAUAGCACAUGAUAUAUAAAUAUGUCAUUUAAUUUAUCUUUAGUUGGCAUAAGUGUCUUUCAAUUUUGGUUGUACAAGUAGACACUUAAAUUUGUGUAAAACUGACAAGUAGACACAUGCAUCCUAGUUACGUGGCAUAAUACACGUUCUACGUAGGAAACAGAUUGUCAUGUAGGACACCACGUAACAUACAUGUGUCUAUUUGUUCAAUUUUAUACAAGUUAAAAUACCUACUUAUACACACCCACGGUAGAGGGUAUAGAUAUCAGUUGAUGCCAAGUUAAAGAGACCUUUACGUAUUAUGCAUAUAUGUAAUGUAUCAAAAUGUCAUUUAAUCAUGUAGUCUUAAACAUGUCAUGUGGUUUACAUAUUAGGGUAUUUUAUCCGCAUUUUAUUUUAACAUUUAAAUGUGGCUAUUUCCCUAAUAAUAUAUAAAUGUGCCCCUAAAACUUAUCUCAGCAGAUAUUUAUGCCCUUCAAUUCUUUAUAUGCUUAAAAAGACGUUUAAAUUGUAUAUAAUUAAACAAGUAGACACAUGUUCAACAUGACAUAAUAUGCAUCCUUCAUAACAUAAUACAAAUCAGUUUGAGUGUUUCUCACGGGAAUUAUCAUGUAAGAUGUGUCUUUUUAUUCAACUUUAUAUAAGUUAUAUACACAUUCAAAGUUGAAGGACAUAGAAGUUAGUUUAAAUUAAAUUAAAAGCUACAUUUAUGUAUUAUACCAAUUUAAUCAAGUGUCCUCUUUCUGGGUUGAUAAUUAAAGUGUAACCCUUUGAUAAAAAAAAAAUAGUAAACAAGUUUUGUCCAUUGAACAACAUAGAGAAGUUUAACUAAAAUGACACAGAUGAGCCAAAUUUUUAACGGAUGGCAUAGAUGAACUUUUCCUCAAAGUUCGAUGACAUAUUUGAGUAUUUUCCUUUUUAAAAAAUAAUUUAAUUAAUAACGUGGCCGAAUCAUACCACGUGUAAAAAAUGAUUUUGCAAAACGAAACUGUUUUCGAUUAACAAAUAAUGACAUGGAUAAGCCUUUUCUCAAACGAAAAUGACAUAAAUGAGUUAAGCCAAACUUUUAACGGAUAGCAUAAGUUAAGCCAAACUUUUAACGGAUGACAUAGAUGAGCUUUUUUUCUCAAAGUUCGAUGACAUAUUUAAGUCUUUUCCCUUUAAUAAAAUAGGUAGAAUGAAAACAAUACCAAGUCUUAUCAAUCCAACAAAACCUGUGAACAAUUGAAUAAACACAAAUAAGUUUUUUCCAGUUCUUCCAAGACUUGUAAGGUGUAACCAGUUUAGCAAAAUGGUGAAAUUAUUAUUGUCCAACCAACAUAACUUGUGGACAAGGUAACACUUUUUGAGUUUUCACUUACAAAACUUCAAUUCUGUUUUCAUAAUCAAACAUAACUCCAUCUUCUGAAGUUCAAAUACUACUUCUCGUCAGUCAUAUCCAAAACACCACGAGAGACGAGACUUUACAUUCAAUCAAUCAAUCACUAUAAACAAUUACCUUUUCGAGUUUUCACUCACAAAACUUCAAUUUUGUUUCCAUAUCCAAACAUAACUCCAUCUUCUGAACUUCAAAUACAACUUCUCUUCAUUCAUAUCCAAAAUGCCACGAGAAACGAGACUUUACAUUCAAUAUAUCACUCACUAUAAACAAUAUUCAAGUUGUGUUGUAUUUGCAACCAUUAAAGAUAUAUAUUUGGUACUUUUGACACACAAUUACAGAGUAACCAGAUACAUACAGAUUCCACACCCAAUUAAAAAAAGUAGACUUUGACAAUCACAGAGAUAAAUUAUGUAUUAGAAGAACGUCUUUGCAGGAGAAAUUAGGGUGCACCCUUGAGUUUCUUGGCGAUGGCAGCGAUGUAUUUACCUUGGUGAUGUGCCUGCUGCAAUUCAAGCUCAGAUGGCUGUCUGGAGCCAUCACCAGCGAAUGUUCCAGCUCCAUAUGGACUUCCUCCUUUCACGUUCUCCAUUUCAAACAUGCCAGCACCAAAUGUGUAUCCGAUGGGUACAAAUAUCAUUCCAUGAUGAACAAGCUGAGUUAUAGCAGUCAACCUAUCAUAUACCUCGGGUUAAAAACAAUACCAAGGAAGAGAAUUACAGUUUAUCAUGUUUAGUCAUAUGGAUUUAUGUGAAAUAAGAUCAUACGGUGUUGUUUCUUGUCCACCACCUUGGGAUCCAGUGCUAUAGAAUAGGCCUGCAGGCUUGCCAGCUAGUUGUUGUGUUCUCCAUAGACCUCCAGUUGCAUCAAGGAAUGCUUUAAACUGAGCGGACAUCAUUCCAAACCUUGUAGGGAAUCCAAAAACGAAACCAUCAGCUUCAGCAAGUUCUUGAGGUGUUAUAAUAGGCACAUCACUCUUUGGAGGUGCACUCAUUUUCGCUAGCACCUCUUCUGAUAACGUUUCAGGUACCUGUACCACAAAAUGGUAUGUUUCAUUAACAGAAGAAUAUAAUUAAGAAAUGUGCAAAGCUAGGGACUCCAACAUGUAAGAAUAGGGCGUAGAAAAUGAUCCAGUUGCUAUUAUUCACAUGAAAGAGGGCGAUCUCCAAAAUUCAAUAACAAGCAGUUUCUAAGCUUGACGACUGACUUCGUAUUAGCACAUAAACUUGGUAAAAGAUUUGCAUAGGCCAAUUUAUUCCGUCGCCUUAAUACUGGCACUGGACUUUUCUAAGCUUUGCCUAAUUUCUAUGUUUGUUUACUCCUUAUUCAGUUCCUUACUGACAGAGACGAGAAAAAGGGAGAAAACAACCAAAAAUAAAUAUGAACCAGAGUCUGAAGAAACAAUUUUGAAAAUUAGCACAGACCAAGUUGUUCCUUCAUCAGCUUACACCAAUUUGGUUUACUCAAAUACGAUCCUUACAUUCAGCCCAUCACUUAGUUUUGUGAAAGUUGAGAAAACUUUUCCUUUCCAGAGAUCAGAUUUACAUGGUUCGGCAAAACAGCCUGUCCACAACCACUCAAGAAGAACGAGUCCGAUAGCUUUAUGGAGUUCCAUUACAAUAACUUUCACACAAUAAAGCUUAUUCCCUUAUAGGUAUAUAUAAAAGAAAAUAAGCUACAACUCUGAGCCAUGCUAAGUUAAGCUACGGCAAUAUUGCUCCUUCCAAUAGCAAAACACGUAUACUAAAGAACAAGGAUGAUUUAAAGCUAGUCAAAUUUAACUGAUUCUUAUACUUCCCCUUUAGUUUUUAAAUCAAGAGAAAAGGGCCAAACAUACCCCUAAACUAAUCAACAUGGCUCAGUUUUACCCUCCGUUAUGUUUUUGGCUCAAAAAUGCCCCUACAGUUGCGUUUUUGGCUCAAAAAUUCCCUCCAACUAGCAAAAUGGAUAAAAAAUACCCUUCUUACUAACUGUAGGAAAAAUGGGCCAACUUACCUAAGUGACAAAAAUGGUUCUUCUUAACAUGGAACCACCUUGGUAAGAAAACCUCUAUAGAGUUGUUAGGCGGUAAUCAAAACAAAGUGAUAACUAAAACUACAACUUGUUGUAGUUCCUGGCUCAUUAUUUGUAGAUGACAGAGACUUGCAGAUACUCUCUCGAGAUUAGAUUUAUGUAUAUUUUCCAUUCCAAACUGAAAGAUAUGAAAAGACAAAGCAACACCUACUUGCCACAAUUUAGCUUCAACUCCUUCAACAGAUGCUGCCCCUUUCUUUAUCUCUUCGGCUAGUUUCUCCACAUGCCCAUACAUUGAAUAAUAUCUGUUGAAGAAAUAAAAUGUCAGCUAUCACUAUUCAAUGGAUGAGAAAUAAAAAGUUUGUAGUAACUCAUAUUACUGUAAAUUUUAAGAAGAUAGCAAUUUGUCCCUCCUCCAAUCAGAUUAAACUGUGUUUUGUCCUCCGGACAUUUGUUAUGUUGCCAAAUUGAAUUGCAUCAAAGCUCUCAUUCGAACUUCAUAUAUUAGUUCCUGAUCCCUUCACUCCAAAUGCUAUUCAUCUCUAUUUUCUUAGUCAACCCUCCCUGCAACUCUAGCUAAGACUACAACCUUAGGUUUUAAACUCGGUAAAUAUUGACAUUAUUGCUGUACCACUUGGCUGAAAAACAUUUACUAUAGCCAGAACCUCUUUGAUACAAGGCAUAUCUCGGGGAGUGCAUGAAUAAACCUCCGAAGAACUCUGACUCCAUUGGCAUUAGAAUGGGAUACAUAGUCGGAAGAUAAUCUUGAAUGUGGACACAAUAGUGCAGACUGUCAUCAAACCAAUGACCAACAAAUAGAAAAUCACUAAAUCCCCAUGAAAACAUAAGAGUGUUUCUUUCCCAAACAUGUGAAUUGUAGGAUAGACGUUUCAUUAAGUUUAUGCAAUCAUUUUAAACACUCAGGUAAGGUGAAUGAAACCAAAUCCAUAAACGAACAAAAAUGUUAAAAGGAAUUAGAUUCAAGAUGGUUUUAAAUCUCAGAUUAACACAUAUUACCCAUAUAGUGGUAGCUAUCUGACAAAUCUAACUUCACAUGACUUCGUUUAAAAAUUUAACAACUUCUGAUCUCUUCUUUUGUUUUCUAGUUUUUUGUGGAUUCACUACUUGGAUGAGUCCUAUAAUAUAUAAAUACUACACUGAACUAGUUGAAUAUACAGCAAUCUCUUUCUGGCAGUCCAUUUAUUUUCUUUGGUACCUAGAGGUCAAGGUGACCGAGAGCAAGGAACCAAGAGUUGAUGGGGGUAGCGCAUCCCCACACUGAUUAAACAAUUUGACGUACCAGGAAGCUAUGUUUCUCGGACUCUACAAAAACAGCCGCACCUAUGUCAGAUCCUCCAGAAAUGCACUCUUUUAGGAGGAUCCAACACGCACCCAAUGACAUUUAUGCAGAGUCCGAGCAACAUAGCCAGGAACUACUCCAGAGAAAAUAACAGCCAGACUUUCUAAAUUGAUCUUUAGAUCACUAAUGUCAAACAAAUAUGACUACUACUACACCAGCUAUUACAUUGUGACAAUGAGGGAGCUUAUCAUAUAUAAUGUUUUAUUUCAACUCCGUAUAUCCAUUGGCGGGUGGUCCAGAAAGAUUAUACAGGUUCGGCCUAACCUGUGCCUUUUAAAAACCCAAUAUGUAUACAUGGGAAACAGCUAAAUUUAUAUUUCAAAACCCCCACUCUUAACUCAGAGCCCCAAUGUUUAAAUCAACGUCUAAAUCCGGGAUCCUUGACAACCUACAACGUCUAAAUCCCGGAUCCUCCAAAACCCAUAAUGUCUAAAUCCUCAAUCCUCCAGAAGACCUGAACCCACACUCUGAACUCAGAACCCACCACAACGUCUAUAUCCGGGAUCCUUCACAACCUACAACGUCUAAAUCCCGGAUCCUCCAAAACCCAUAAUGUCUAAAUCCUCAAUCCUCCAGAAGACCUGAACCCACACUCUGAACUCAGAACCCACCACAACGUCUAUAUCCGGGAUCCUUCACAACCUACAACGUCUAAAUCCCGGAUCCUCCAGAACCCACACUCUGAACUCAGAACCCACGACGUCUAAAUCCUCGAUCCUCCAAAACCCACAACGUCUAAAUCCUCAAUGCUACAGAACCCACACUCUGAACUCAGAACCCACCACAACGUCUAAAACCGGGAUCUUUCACAACCCACAACGUCUAAAUCCGGGAUCUUUCACAACCCACACCAUCUAAAUCCCGGAUCCUCCAGAACCCACAACUUCAAAAUCCCGGAUCCGCCACUUCACACAUAAUUUCAAGCUGAGGCACAGGGUGCAACCACAUCAGCUACUCAAACACUACAUCCACCCUUAAUAUCAAACUAAAUCAAUUCAAUGCACAAUUUUAUCAAUUACUACAUCUGCCCUUAAUAUCAAACUAUAAGGAAAUAAUAAUUUAUUAAUUUUUCAAUGCACAAAUUUAUCAUCUCACUGUAUCUAACAAAUAAUUUACCCAAAUUUUAGCAGCAGCUAAGCUAAAAUCUGAUCCUUCAAUUAAUAUACUAAAACUCUAAAUUAAAUAACGAUGAUUUGCAUGUAAUUAACAUCAUUAACGCCAAAUCGGUAAUUAAAUUGAAUUCAACAAAAAACGAAUCAACUAAUAACACUAAAGUUCAUCCGAUUUAAACACAAAAUCAACAUGGAAAACAAAAUUAUUAUCAAUUUUUUUCAAUCAACAGCUGAAAAUUUAGCAAAUUUACUUACACUAUGUAAAUUUUGGUAGCCAUUUUCGAUCUGGAAGGAAGAUUUGAGAGCAGAGCUGUAGAACCACAACUGUCUUUUCAGUUUAUAUAUUUAUAUUUAUAGUUGCUAAAAGACUGUCAAUUAAAUCCGUUCCGCACAUUGCAGGAUCCAUUUUUAUUGCAGUCUCACGGAAGGUCAGAUUAAAAAUUUGGGGUUCUAAAUUUUAGGACGGAAUAAAAGAAUAGUUCGAGUCUAUCCCUCUAAAUUACGUUGGCAUUUUGCAGGAUUCGUUUCUAAGGGCAUCGUUUUUUAACAAAAAAAAUUUUGUUCUUAUUGUUGGAACUUGAGAUCUUACUCAUCUCAUCACACUAUUUAAUUAGUUUAUUCGUUUUCUACUAUUUUAAUAAUAACUUUACCGUGUACUCUAUUUUUAUGAUAUUGUAAGUUUAUAUUUUAGAUUGGUGAUGCGUGAUAUUAUGUAAGAAAGAUGAAAUAAUUUAUUUGUAUUUAUCAAAACAAUAUUAUGCAAUUAAAAAACAUGAUAUGUUAUGGGACGAUAUAUAACAACCAACCAAACAAGUUAUUAGGUGAUCACACAUGGAAAUAGGAGAGGAAAGUGAAAACUUUAUAAAAGAUAAUAGAAGUUCAUGCGAUACGUGAACUUUUGAGCUUAAAGAUUGCAUGGACGGAGUGAUUUAUAAGAACAAUCUUGAAAGUGAGUAGUUUUGAACUUUUAAUCCUAUUUGCACGUGAACAAAACUUCAAAUCUAAUAAAUUUUGUCACAUAGACAACACUUUUGACCUUGAAGGUUUGCACGGUUGCACAUAGAGCAAAUAAGAUCAAAAGUUCAAGAUCAUUCAUUUUUUAAAAUCAUUGAAUAUAAUUUCCUCCAUAAACCCGGUCGACUUUUGGCCAAAGCGAACAACAGGUGCUUUCUGUUUUACUUUGUUUAUCGUAUUUUUCUUUCUUAAAUUACGUUUGAAGAUAAAAUUAUACGAACAAAAUUGAAUAGAAGGAAAUACUUAUACUUAUUUACCACUUUAAUUAGUUAAUUUAAUUUAGAUCUUAAUCUAAAGUAAAUGUGGACAAAUUGGAAUAUGGAAAUUCAAGAAAAGGAAUGAUGAGUGAAUAAGUUUGACUAGCUCAACCAAGUCUAAAAAUGAUCAAAGAGGAAAAACAAGGCAAUAAUUGACUUUUUCCCUAUACUUUAGGUAUGGGUAUAUGACAUGCCCCACGAUUUAUUGCCUUGCACUUUCAACAUUACCAAACUUCUCAAUUAUUCACUCAUUAAAGCGUUUUUUUUUCUUCUUAAUUGGACUUUUUUAACUUGUAAAAUACUUUUAAUAUUAUUAAAUAAAAAUAUUUUUUUGUUUUAUUUUAUGUGAUGGUAUAUCUCAUUUAUGUUUUCAAUGAGUAGCUUGAUGAGUCCAAAUCACGACAGCUUGAGAAGAAAGGAAAAUGUAUUAAGAAAAAAAAAUGGGAAAAUGCAUAACUACCCCCAGCCUAUGUCCAAAAUCCCUGAGACACAUCUAACUUUUACUAAGAUCCUAUUACCCCGAACUUAUUUUAUAUAUAAUUUUAUACCCCUUUUCGGCCUACGUGGCAUUAUCUUGUGGGCUCAGUGCGUGUUGACAAUUUUUUCAAGAAUAGUGCCACAUAGGCCGAAAAGGGAUAGAAAAUUAAUUAAAAAAUAAGUUCGGGAGUAAUAGGACCUUAGUAAAGGUUAAGUGUGUCUCAGGAAUUUUGAACAUAGGCUUGGGGUUACUUAUGCAUUUUCCCAAAAAAAAAUCAAAAAUCUCAAUCCAUUUUGAGGACCAAAUACAUCUAAUCUAUAGUAUAGGUGUCAAAGAAGAAUUCCAAAUAAAAGAACGAAAUAUCCAAUAUGAUAAACAAAAUAAAAUCAUGUCAAAGUCAUAAUUGUAUGACUUCAAUAUGAUGUCUUUCGAACGUGAAUUCACAUUGAACAUUGCACCAUAUGAUCAAUGAUCUGUUAAUUUUACAAUUUUGUUAAACUUGUGAUUUAAAACAAGUUACAAACGAUUCUCUAACUAUAAAUUUAUCUUAUUUAGAGUAAGUUGAAAAAUUAGAAGUUAAAUUAUUACUCAAACAUAGCUAAAACAUGCUAGAAAGGUAAGAAUAUCACAUACUACAACAACAUGUCCCGUGAAAUUCCACGAGUUUUCUGGGAUCUUGAGAACAGAGAUAGAGUGUACCCAAACUUUAUCCCUAACGACCCUUCGUCUCAAGUAUAGCGAAUCAAAGUAGUUAUGAAAAAAGUAAAAACGACAUUGCAUUCAGAAAAGCAACAGUAACACCAACAAUAGUAUCAUCUGUAUAUAUUUUCAAUGUGUAAGUAUAACAAAAUAUGAAAAAGUUACAAUGAAAAGUUGAAUUCUUGAUGAAGAGCUUCAUCUAACAAAAACUGAGAUUGCUCCAUCAACUCAGGACUUAAUCUGAACAUCAAAACACAAAAUUCCAUCUGAUUCAAAGCUCCAUCACCAUCAAAAUCCCCUUCUUUAACCAUACCUUUAAGAUCAUCAUCACUCAAAUCUUGUAACCCUAACAAAGCUGAAUUCUUCUUAAGACUCUCAAAUGUGAUAACCCCUUUAUCCCUAUCCAUUAAUAACUGAAACCCUUUACACAGCUCACCAAUUAAACCAUCCCCACCAAGUUUUUCAGCCAUAAGAGGCAAAAAAUCAUUAAAAUUGGAUUUUCUUGAAGUAGCCAUUGAAGAAAUAAAAGUUGGAAUUGGUCAGAAAAUUGAUUGAUGAAGAAAAGGGGUUGUGGAGAAUUGUAUAUAAAGGAGAAAUUUGGACGGUAGAAAGGGGUUUCGAAGAAAACGCCAUGGAAAAUACAGCAAAGAUAGAGUCUUUUCACGCGAAAUUGCCUUUGCUUUGGCUUAGCCUGACAGUUGAGGAAGAAAUUGCCUCCCAAUUUCUAAUGUUGGUCUUGUCACACACUAGGGGUAUAUUUGUCCUUUUGAAAUUAUCUUUAUAACGACGUCAUUUAUUCGGAUACAUUUUAAGGAAAAAUUACCUAAAUACACAUUUUAUUUUAUCAUAUUCUCGAAAAUUUUCUAUCAUUCAAAAAAUUACAAAAUCCCUACUAUCUCCUAUUCUCGGAUACAUCACUUUACGCGAUGUAUAUUAUCUGGAUGUACGCGAUGUAUUCAAAAUUGAUACGCAAUGUAUCGAGAUGUAUCUGAAAUCGAGACGCAAUGUAUCAGAACGUUUUGAAAUAUAUCUGUAUUCCACCAAAUUUAAGAGAUUUUUAUUUUGAAAAAAUAUAGGGAUAAGAUUUAUUAUCUCUUUAACACUAUGAGAUUUGUGUAAAAUUCAUUUUUUAGUUAUUCUUAUAGAGAAUAUAUAAUAUAACAUAACCUAAAAUAUCGAUUACUCAAAAAGAAUAUAAAUACUGAAACUGAAAUGGUGUUAUAAAGAAUAUAGCAGCUAGCAUUGCUUGUUUCGAUAUUUUUUACUGUUAUUAUAUAAAUAACAUAAAAUGAAAAAUUGAUUUCAUAGAAAACUUGGUUUACAAUGAAAUAUUGUUGUAAAUGAUAUAAUGACGUUGUUUGUUUGGACAUUUUUUUAUUGUCAUGGCAAAUAUUAUUAAAAAAACUUAAUUAUUUUUUUCCUUAAUAUUAACUGGUAAGCACCAAGUAUUGUUCUAAAAAAAAUAUUACUUAUAUAAUUGGACGGAAAAAAUUAUAUUUAAACUUGACUAAAUAGAAAUUACCUAAAUAUAAUGUGAAGCUAUUAUUAUUCGAAAAGUCAAGAGAUUUGUAUGUCUCCAAUGUACAUGUUUACAUUGAAGUUAUAAGAAUAAAAGUUGCAAUGAAGAGUCAAUCUUUCGAAAGGCCAAAUAUUUUUAUAUUUUAGUCUUUUUGUGUUUCAUAUCGGACCACCAAUUAUUUAUUAAAUAUAUUUUAAUUGUUAGUUAUUCCUUUUUACUACUAAAUAAAGGUGAUAAUUCAAUUACAUUUUAAUUAUUAAUUAUUCCUUUUUACUACUGAAUAAAGGUGAUAUUUCAGGUAAGAAAAGGGAAUAAGUGAUUGUUUAUAUGUGUUUUGAUUAUAGUUGAUAAUAAUUGAGAUAGGAAACUCGUACACUUACGUCUAGGUAUGAAGCUAAAAAAAUCGAGAUAUUUUAGGUGUAUUUUACACCAUUAACCUUGUUGAAGAGUAUUGACAAAAGUUAUAAUGAAAAGUCAGCAUCUUUGAAACUCUUUGUGAAAGAGUUUUUCAGUUGGAGUGUAGUAUUCGUAUUGGGGUUUUUAUUAAUUUCAGUUUGUGUCGCAUAAAUUAAAUUAAAGAAAAAAACAUUGUGUAGCGUGGACGGAUCCUAUCUAUCCCGCCACAAUCUGCAGCGUUGAAGGCACAAAAUUCCAUCUGAUUGAGAAAUGAUUUUAUAAUCCAUUACAAAUGUUAUUGUAAUUAUACUUCUUUUCCUAGGAGAUUAUUACUAAAAAAUACACCAAAUAAAUGUAAAUAAAACAAUAUUAGAAAUGACCUAUUGUUCAAAAUCGAAUAGGGAGUUUGAUUUUUAAAGCAACGUUCGAUGAGGAAAAUAACUUUCACCCAAAGGUAAGAGGUGGUCAUUCCACUUUCUUGAAUCUAUAACAGCAAUUGAAAAUUUAGAUAAAUGGAAGAUUGUAUUUAGAAUUCGAAUACACUUGGGAUCGACUAUAUGAAUCUUUACUGCUUCAUUUAAGCUCAACUCAUGUCAUCAUCGUUAUCAAAUAAAGUAAAAAUGAAACCAAAACAAGUUUUAAUAACGUUAGAAGUUCUCUAACGAGUCCCAAACGAGGAAAAUGUAAUUUCAUUUGCAGUGCAAGAGUCAGUAUCAGACCUGAUAGAAGUAACUUCAGUUGGGUUCAUAUCUCUCAGAAAACCAGGUUGUCUUGGCUGUGGUAGUGUACUCUCUCCAUUCAACAUCAGAACCACGGGCCGACAUAUUUGGUCUGUCUUCUGGAAUCUGCUGGACACAUAACAGACUUACAUGUAUGCACCGCGAUAUUUCCAACAUAGAGCUUGUGUCCUCUAACGAGGAAUCAACUAACGCGAGGGGUGUCCCUUCCGUCCACAUUCUCCAAGCCUGAAAAGGGGAAUAAAGAAAGAAAGGCACAUUACAUAACCAAACAUUCAAACUUGGCUUCAGAUGACAAUUUAGCACUCCAAUUUUGACUAUGCACAUCUAGACAGUUCAACUCGUCUCCACUGUGUCAGUUGAACACUCCAACUUCGUCUUUACUGUAACCUUGUUCUUUACUUCCACGGAUAGUGACUAGUGAGAUAUUAACUCAUUGACUCUAAACUCAUUCCAAUUAUACCUAUAUUCCACACGCUGAGAAAUAAAUGUCAUUGACUUGCAAUGCUUGUGAUUUCUCAUAAGAAGAAGCAUCAAAACUCAAAAGAAAGAGAAAGAUUUUGCGUACAACAACUACGCCUCAAUCCCAAACAAGUGGUCAGCUAUAUGAAUCCCCAGUUCUUCAUUAAAGCUCAUUUUCAUAUCCUCAUCGUGUGCAUUAACGAAAAAAUCUAAUAAAAGUUUCAGCUUAGAAUUUAUCAAACAGUGAGUUUCAGACAUUGAAUGGUUAAAUCAUAAGGAAAAAAAAGUGAAAAGACCCUUGGUAGAGACAAUAGAGAGAACUGAUGAAAUAAGCUGUUUCUCCAUAGAUACAACUUUCCAUAUAUCCCUAUCCAUCAAUAACGGAAACCCUUUACACAGCUCGUCUAUCAAACCAACCCCACGUAAUUUCUCAUACAAAAUAGGUAACAAAUACUCAUCCGUAGAGACAGUUAAGAUAACUGAUUAAACCUAUUGUUUCUCCAUUAGUACAACUUUCUGUAUAUGUUUUUGCAAUGUAUUACAUGUUUACAUAGACAAAAGUAUAAAACGACAAAAGUUACAACGAAAAGUUGAAUUCUUGGUAAUGAGAUUCUUUCUAACAAAAACUGAGACUCUCAAAUGUGAUGACCCCUUCAUCCCUAUCCAUCAACAACUGAAACCCUUUACACAGCUCGUCAAUCGAACCAUCCCCACUUAGUUUUUCUCAUCCAUAUUAGGCAACAAAUAGUUGAACAUGAUUACAAUAAUUCAGUGUAUAACUAUAAGAAUUUUAUCAUAAAAUGUGCGGUUCUGCUCUUAUCUCGAUGAGAUAAUAGCCACAAGAUUUUGCUGUCACUUAGAGUAGAACUGUAUCAGAUUGAAGUGUAAAAUUGAUAGCUAUCAUUUUAUCAAACCAGCAGUGUUAUUCUUGACCGGCAUGUCUAUUAGUUCAUCAAUGCAACGACUAUGAAAUGCCAUUGACUUGGUCUUUACUGUAAGCUUGUUCUUUACUUCUGCGGAUAGUGACUAGUGAGAUACUGACUCAUUGACCUCUCAACUCAUUCCAUUUACAUAUACCAAUAUUCCACACGCUGAGAAAUAAAUGUCAUUGACUUGCACUACUAGUGAUUUUUCAUAAGAAGCAUCAAAACUAGAAAGAAAGAGAAAGAUUUUGCAUACAACUACAUCUCAAUCCCAAACAAGUGGUCAGCUAUAUGAAUCCCCAGUUCUUCAUUAAAGGUCAUUUUCAUAUCCUCAUCAUGUGCAUUACCAGAAAAUUCUAAGAGAAGUUCCAGCUUAGAAUUUAUGGAAAAUUGAGCUUCGGAUAUUGAAUGGUUAAAUUAUAAGGAAACAAGUAACAAGACUCAUUGGCAGAGACAGUAGAGAGAACUGAUGAAAUAAGUUGUUUCUCCAUAGACACAACUUUUUGUAUCCCUAUCCAUCAAUAACUGAAACCCUUUACACAGCUCGCCUAUCAAACCAACCCCACGUAAUUUCUCAGACAAAAUAGGUAACAAAUACUCAUCAGUAGAGACAGUUGAGAGAACUGAUUAAACCUAUUGUUUCUUCAUUAGUACAACUUUCAGUAAACGUUUUUGCAAUGUAUUACAUGUUCACAUAGAGAAAAGUAUAAAACGACGAAAGUUAAAACGAAAAGUUGAAUUCUUGAUGAUGAGAUUCUUUCUAACAAAAAACUGAGACUCUCAAAUGUGAUGACCCCUUUAUCCCUAUCCAUCAACAACUGAAGCCCUUUACACAGCUCGUCAAUCGAACCAUCCCCACUUAGUUUUUCUCAUCCAUAUUAGGCAACAAAUAGUUUAACAUGAUUACAAUAAUUAGGAAAACUGAAAAAGUACUCUGAAGAGAACUGAUUAAACAAGCUGUUUCUCCAUUAAUUCAACUUUCUGUAUAUGUUUUUGCAAUGUAUACAUUAAAGUUAAGUAUAAAAGACAAAAGUAACAAUAUAAAGUAACAAUCUUUAUAUUUAAAUGUUAGAAUGAAA
Molecule: long non-coding RNA, 15700 nt
Filed under: Solanum tuberosum (potato)
Lineage: Eukaryota; Viridiplantae; Streptophyta; Magnoliopsida; Solanales; Solanaceae
Description: long non-coding RNA (STUB_LNC009535)
Source: RNAcentral